CUACGGGUCGCUGCAGUGAGGAAUAUUGCACAAUGGAGGAAACUCUGAUGCAGCAACGCCGCGUGGAGGAUGACGCAUUUCGGUGUGUAAACUCCUUUUAUAUGUCAAGAAAAUGACGGUAGCAUAUGAAUAAGCACCGGCUAACUCCGUGCCAGCAGCCGCGGUAAUACGGAGGGUGCAAGCGUUACUCGGAAUCACUGGGCGUAAAGGACGCGUAGGCGGGUUGGAAAGUCAGGUGUGAAAUCCUACAGCUUAACUGUAGAACUGCACUUGAAACUUCUAAUCUAGAGUAUGGGAGGGGGAGAUGGAAUUAGUGGUGUAGGGGUAAAAUCCGUAGAUAUCACUAGGAAUACCUAAAGCGAAGGCGAUCUCCUGGAGCAUUACUGACGCUAAGGCGUGAAAGUGUGGGGAGCAAACAGGAUUAGAUACCCCAGUAGUC
RNAcentral lists this ribosomal RNA (439 nucleotides) under uncultured bacterium. RNAcentral describes it as "partial 16S ribosomal RNA". It matches the Rfam family "Bacterial small subunit ribosomal RNA", at positions 339 to 795 of the family's 1533-position model. The record is from RNAcentral.